RNAcentral lists this ribosomal RNA (439 nucleotides) under uncultured bacterium. RNAcentral's name for it is "partial 16S ribosomal RNA". It matches the Rfam family "Bacterial small subunit ribosomal RNA", at positions 339 to 795 of the family's 1533-position model. The record is from RNAcentral.
CUACGGGCUGCAGCAGUGAGGAAUUUUGCACAAUGGGGGGAACCCUGAUGCAGCAACGCCGUGUGGAGGAUGACGCAUUUCGGUGUGUAAACUCCUUUUAUAUGUCAAGAAAAUGACGGUAGCAUAUGAAUAAGCACCGGCUAACUCCGUGCCAGCAGCCGCGGUAAUACGGUGGGUGCAAGCGUUACUCGGAAUCACUGGGCGUAAAGGACGCGUAGGCGGGUUGGAAAGUCAGGUGUGAAAUCCUACAGCUUAACUGUAGAACUGCACUUGAAACUUCUAAUCUAGAGUAUGGGAGGGGGAGAUGGAAUUAGUGGUGUAGGGGUAAAAUCCGUAGAUAUCACUAGGAAUACCUAAAGCGAAGGCGAUCUCCUGGAACAUUACUGACGCUAAGGCGUGAAAGCGUGGGGAGCAAACAGGAUUAGAUACCCCGGUAGUC